RNAcentral lists this ribosomal RNA (486 nucleotides) under uncultured bacterium. RNAcentral describes it as "partial 16S ribosomal RNA". It matches the Rfam family "Bacterial small subunit ribosomal RNA", at positions 28 to 507 of the family's 1533-position model. The record is from RNAcentral.
GACGAACGCUGGCGGCGUGCUUAACACAUGCAAGUCGAACGCUGAAGACCUGGCUUUUGUUGGGUUGGAUGAGUGGCGAACGGGUGAGUAACACGUGAGUAACCUGCCCUCUUCUUUGGGAUAACGCCCGGAAACGGGUGCUAAUACUGGAUAUUCACUGAUCUUCGCAUGGGGGUUGGUGGAAAGGUUUGUUCUGGUGGGGGAUGGGCUCACGGGCUAUCAGGUUGUUGGUGGGUUGAUGGCCUACCAAGGCUUUGACGGGUAGCCGGCCUGGAAGGGUGACCGUGCACAUGAGGACUGGGACACGGCCCAGAGGGCUGCGGGAGUGAGCAGUGUGGAAUAUUGGGCAAUGGGCGAAAGCCUGAUGCAGCGACGGCGGGUGAGGGAUGGAGGGCUUCGGGUUGUAAAUGUCUUUCGCUAAUGGUCACGCCGCAACUGUGCGUUGUGGUGAGGGUAGUGGGUAAAGAAGCGCCGGCUAACUACGUG